Long non-coding RNA from Stylophora pistillata, 569 nucleotides. The record is from RefSeq and is a predicted model, not a curated record. Lineage: Eukaryota; Metazoa; Cnidaria; Anthozoa; Scleractinia; Pocilloporidae.
CGUUCCAGAAUCUGAUGAGUUUAGCCCACUUAUACUUGUCAAGUAACAAGUUGGAGCUUAUUCCUGAGAAAGCGUUCCAGAAUCUGACUAGUUUAACCCGCUUGUAAGUAGAUCACAUAUAAGGGUAUUAUUAUGCCUAUAAGAGGGAAUACGAAUCUCUAGAUUUCCAUUAAUUUAAAGUAAUUUUCGAUCGAAACCAACCUUCAUUUGUUAAAAGUGGGUUCAACUCUAACUCCAAAACAUCAGCGAGCUUGAUUGUUCAUUGAUGUCAAAUUUUCUGAGGCACAGAAUGUUUUUGUAUCACACAUGACACAGUAAAAUAAAAAGCAACCAUUUGCUAAUAUUUUUUGGCCUAAGAGGCUUGUCAGGAAACAUGUUGAAGCUUAUUCCUGAGAAAGCGUUCCAGAAUCUGACCAGUUUAACCUACUUUUAUGUAGACAACAUAUGACAAAGAUAUGAAUCUCUAGAUUCCAUUAAUUCGAAGUGGUUUUCGAUCGAAACCAGCCUUGACGAGUUGAACCCCCUUGUAAGUAGAAAACAUAUAACAAAGGGUAUUUAUGCUAAUAGAA